UACGUAGGUGGCAAGCGUUGUCCGGAAUUAUUGGGCGUAAAGCGCGCGCAGGCGGUUCCUUAAGUCUGAUGUGAAAGCCCACGGCUCAACCGUGGAGGGUCAUUGGAAACUGGGGAACUUGAGUGCAGGAGAGAAGAGUGGAAUUCCACGUGUAGCGGUGAAAUGCGUAGAGAUGUGGAGGAACCCCAGUGGCGAAGGCGACUCUUUGGCCUGUAACUGACGCUGAGGCGCGAAAGCGUGGGGAGCAAACAGG
RNAcentral lists this ribosomal RNA (253 nucleotides) under uncultured bacterium. Its description in RNAcentral is "partial 16S ribosomal RNA". It matches the Rfam family "Bacterial small subunit ribosomal RNA", at positions 524 to 776 of the family's 1533-position model. The record is from RNAcentral.